GUGACACCCAUUUUGAGUCUCCGUGAACUCUGCAUCUUAUGCAUUUUUCUAUUUUUGCCUCGGAGGCCCCAUUACGCAUUCUUUGAGUCAAGCCUACUCUUUGAGAAUCGAAGAACAAAUCCCAUAAAUCGGCAAACAGGUCCCAAAAUUGAAAGUAUACGGACCAGAUCAAGAAGUUGAAGAAUUAGGCCUAACAGUUUUUUAGUGUUGCAC
This 213-nucleotide unclassified non-coding RNA is filed under the name Hevea brasiliensis (rubber tree). The record is from RNAcentral. Lineage: Eukaryota; Viridiplantae; Streptophyta; Magnoliopsida; Malpighiales; Euphorbiaceae.